CAGCAGCCGCGGUAAUACGAAGGUCCCAAGCGUUGUUCGGAAUCACUGGGCGUAAAGGGAGCGUAGGCGGCGUGGUAAGUCAGAUGUGAAAUCCCGGGGCUCAACCCCGGAACUGCAUCCGAUACUGCCAUGCUUGAGGGUUGGAGAGGUAGCUGGAAUUCUCGGUGUAGCAGUGAAAUGCGUGGAUAUCGAGAGGAACACUCGUGGCGAAGGCGAGCUACUGGACAACAACUGACGCUGAGGCUCGAAGGCCAGGGUAGCGAAAGGGAUUAGAUACCCCCGUAGUCCCUGUCUCUUAUAC
This 301-nucleotide ribosomal RNA is filed under the name uncultured bacterium. RNAcentral's name for it is "partial 16S ribosomal RNA". It matches the Rfam family "Bacterial small subunit ribosomal RNA", at positions 509 to 807 of the family's 1533-position model. The record is from RNAcentral.